This is a non-coding RNA of Bos taurus (domestic cattle), 72 nucleotides long. The record is from Rfam. Lineage: Eukaryota; Metazoa; Chordata; Mammalia; Artiodactyla; Bovidae.
UCCCUGGUGGCUCAGACGGUAAAGCGUCUGCCUACAAUGCAGGAGAACCGGGUUCAAUCCCUGGUUCGGGAA